This 314-nucleotide long non-coding RNA is filed under the name Daucus carota (carrot). RNAcentral's name for it is "long non-coding RNA (DCAR_LNC001324)". Lineage: Eukaryota; Viridiplantae; Streptophyta; Magnoliopsida; Apiales; Apiaceae. The record is from RNAcentral.
AGAACACCUAAAAGUUUAGAAGAAUCAGGAUCGUUGAAAGCUAAUCUGAAUGCUGAGACACUCCCUCCAUCAAGAAAACAUGAAGAAGAGGUGGAUGAUGAAAGUGCACGAAAGAAAAGGAAGCAUGAAGAGAAGAAACAGGAGAAGCAUGAAGAGAAGAAACAUGAGAAGCAUGAAGAGAAGAAACACGAGAAGCAUGAAAAGCGUGAGAAGCGACGUACCCGUGCUUCAGUUGACAAAUCGAAACAUUCUCGUGAUUCUGAUGACAGGAGGAAGCACAAGAGAGACAAGGAAAGAAGACGACAUGAUUCUGA